GCCCCACCGUAAAAUAUAUACUUACAAAACUAACGCCAGGGUAUUACGAGCCUCAGCUUAAAACCCAAAGGACUUGACGGUGUCCCAUCCAACUAGAGGAGCCUGUUCUAUAAUCGAUAACCCCCGAUAUACCUAACCCCCCCUUGCCAAUCAGCCUGUAUACCUCCGUCGUAAGCUCACCAUAUGAAUGCCAACAGUAAGUUUAAUGAUUUAUCAUCAAUACGUCAGGUCAAGGUGCAGCUCAUGAUGGGGAAGCAAUGGGCUACAAUUUCUAAGAUAGAACCACGGAAUGCUCCAUGAAACACAGCAUGAAGGCGGAUUUAGUAGUAAAAAGUAAAUAGAGUGUUCUUUUUAAUAAGGCCCUGGGACGUGUACACACCGCCCGUCACCCUCUUCAAUAGCACAUAAUAUGUUUUUAACAAGUUCUGCACUCUAGAAGAGGCAAGUCGUAACAUGGUAAGUGUACCGGAAGGUGCACUGAUACAAANNNACACCGAAAACUUAUCUGUGAAAUCAGAUUACUUUGAGCCAAAAAUUAAGCCUAUUUACCCUUUAUAAAAACCACACUCAACUAAACCACAAUAAAACAUUUUAUCAGUUUAGUAAAGGCGAUUAAAAAACUUUCUAGCGCUAUACUUUUAGUACCGCAAGGGAAAAAUGAAAUAGUUUUGAAAUAGUCUUUAAGCAAAAAACAGCAGAGACUAUUACUCGUAUUCCUUAAUAUGCCUUUAACCCUUUAUUUAUACUGAAUGGUUCUAUACUAUAUAGAAACCCCCCUGCUAAAACUAGUAACAAGAAAUUGAUUUUUCUCCAAAAUAUAUAUAUAAACCAAAAUGGACAAACCAUUGGUUAUUAACGUCAAUAAAACAAUAUAGCAACUUCACUAGAAAACACUAUUAAUCCAUACGUUAACCUUACACAAGUAUAUUUCUGGAAAGAUUAAAAGAAAGAGAAGGAACUCGGCAAAUCAUAACCCCGCCUGUUUACCAAAAACAUCGCCUCUUGAAUAACCAUAAGAGGUCCAGCCUGCCCAGUGAUAUAAUUUAACGGCCGCGGUACCCUGACCGUGCAAAGGUAGCAUAAUCACUUGUUCUCUAAAUAAGGACUAGUAUCAACGGCAUCACGAGGGUUAUACUGUCUCCUCUUUUUAAUCAGUGAAAUUGACCUCUCCGUGAAGAGGCGGGGAUAAUUAUACAAGACGAGAAGACCCCAUGGAGCUUUAAACCCAAUAACAGCCCACACAAGUUUUAUCCUAAAAUGAAAAAGCAAUGUUUAUUGGUUUUAGGUUGGGGUGACCACGGAGAAAAACCAAACCUCCACGAUGAAUGGACCUUAAUCCUAAUCUACGAGAUACUACUCCAAGAAUCAAUAAUUUGACAUAAUAUGAUCCGACAACGAUCAACGAACCAAGUUACCCUGGGGAUAACAGCGCAAUCCAUUUCAAGAGCCCCUAUCGACAAAUGGGUUUACGACCUCGAUGUUGGAUCAGGGUAUCCUAGUGGUGCAGCCGCUACUAAAGGUUGUUGUUCAACAAUUAAAACCC
This 1543-nucleotide unclassified non-coding RNA is filed under the name Limnonectes cf. kuhlii 'lineage 12'. Its description in RNAcentral is "partial contains 12S ribosomal RNA, tRNA-Val, and 16S ribosomal RNA; may contain tRNA-Phe". The stretch from base 1 to 494 matches the Rfam family "Bacterial small subunit ribosomal RNA", at positions 794 to 1533 of the family's 1533-position model. The record is from RNAcentral. Lineage: Eukaryota; Metazoa; Chordata; Amphibia; Anura; Dicroglossidae.